RNAcentral lists this ribosomal RNA (120 nucleotides) under Mus spicilegus (steppe mouse). Lineage: Eukaryota; Metazoa; Chordata; Mammalia; Rodentia; Muridae. The record is from RNAcentral.
CUCUAUAGUCAUGCUACCAUGAGUGUGCCCAAUCUUGUCUGAUCUUAGAAACUACAUGGAGUUGAGCCUAGAGAGAAUGUGUAUGGAGACAACAUAGUUUUUUUUCAUAUGCUGAAGUGU